GAUGAACGCUGGCGGCGUGCCUAAUACAUGCAAGUCGAGCGAACGGACGAGAAGCUUGCUUCUCUGAUGUUAGCGGCGGACGGGUGAGUAACACGUGGAUAACCUACCGAUAAGACUGGGAUAACUUCGGGAAACCGGAGCUAAUACCGGAUAAUAGUUUGAACCGCAUGGUUCAAAAGUGAAAGACGGUCUUGCUGUCACUUAGAGAUGGAUCCGCGCUGCAUUAGCUAGUUGGUAAGGUAACGGCUUACCAAGGCAACGAUGCAUAGCCGACCUGAGAGGGUGAUCGGCCACACUGGAACUGAGACACGGUCCAGACUCCUACGGGAGGCAGCAGUAGGGAAUAUUCCGCAAUGGGCGAAAGCCUGACGGAGCAACGCCGCGUGAGUGAUGAAGGUCUUCGGAUCGUAAAACUCUGUUAUUAGGGAAGAACAUAUGUGUAAGUAAAUGUGCACAUCUUGACGGUACCUAAUCAGAAAGCCACGGCUAACUACGUG
RNAcentral lists this ribosomal RNA (497 nucleotides) under uncultured bacterium. RNAcentral describes it as "partial 16S ribosomal RNA". It matches the Rfam family "Bacterial small subunit ribosomal RNA", at positions 28 to 507 of the family's 1533-position model. The record is from RNAcentral.